This 443-nucleotide ribosomal RNA is filed under the name uncultured bacterium. RNAcentral's name for it is "partial 16S ribosomal RNA". It matches the Rfam family "Bacterial small subunit ribosomal RNA", at positions 338 to 795 of the family's 1533-position model. The record is from RNAcentral.
CCUACGGUGAGCUGCAGUGGGGAAUAUUGGGCAAUGGAGGAAACUCUGACCCAGCAACGCCGCGUGAAUGAUGAAGGUCUUCGGAUUGUAAAGUUCUUUUCUAAGGGAAGAAGAAAGUGACGGUACCUUAGGAAUAAGCCUCGGCUAACUACGUGCCAGCAGCCGCGGUAAUACGUAGGAGGCAAGCGUUAUCCGGAAUGACUGGGCGUAAAGGGUGCGUAGGUGGUUCAGCAAGUUAGUAGCGUAAUUCCGGGGCUCAACUUCGGCACUACUACUAAAACUGUUGGACUUGAGUGCAGGAGGGGCAACUGGAAUUUCUAGUGUAGCGGUGGAAUGCGUAGAUAUUAGGAAGAACACCAGUGGCGAAGGCGAGUUGCUGGACUGUAACUGACACUGAGGCACGAAAGCGUGGGGAGCAAACAGGAUUAGAUACCCCAGUAGUC